This 482-nucleotide ribosomal RNA is filed under the name uncultured bacterium. RNAcentral describes it as "partial 16S ribosomal RNA". It matches the Rfam family "Bacterial small subunit ribosomal RNA", at positions 30 to 507 of the family's 1533-position model. The record is from RNAcentral.
AUUGAACGCUGGCGGCAUGCCUUACACAUGCAAGUCGAACGGUAACAGGUCUUCGGAUGCUGACGAGUGGCGGACGGGUGAGUAAUACAUCGGAACGUGCCCAGACGUGGGGGAUAACGAGGCGAAAGCUUUGCUAAUACCGCAUACGAUCUAAGGAUGAAAGCAGGGGACCGCAAGGCCUUGCGCGUUUGGAGCGGCCGAUGGCAGAUUAGGUAGUUGGUGGGAUAAAAGCUUACCAAGCCGACGAUCUGUAGCUGGUCUGAGAGGACGACCAGCCACACUGGGACUGGGACACGGCCCAGACUCCUACGGGAGGCAGCAGUGGGGAAUUUUGGACAAUGGGCGAAAGCCUGAUCCAGCAAUGCCGCGUGCAGGAUGAAGGCCUUCGGGUUGUAAACUGCUUUUGUACGGAACGAAAAGGCUCUGGCUAAUACCUGGGGCACAUGACGGUACCGUAAGAAUAAGCACCGGCUAACUACGUG